UACUGCCACUCACUGGAGCUGCCUGCAGGUGCCAGAUGUACCAGCACCACAGCCAAGAUGGGACCUGCCUGCUUCUGUGGAGGGAUGUAAUUUUAACACCACUAUAUAUAUCACCUGAUAAUGUUGACUUAACUUUCCGCAAUGAACUCUGGAAAUCCUCUUCUAAAUUUAGGUAAAUUUCACCAUUUUCAUUUUUAAAAACUCAUAGUGAUACAGUAUUUUCUGUUAAGUGUCCUUUAUUAUUUUUAUUACAAACACAACUUAUUAUGUUUUUCUUUUUUCUUUUUUUGUAGUUUUGAAUUCUUCUCUUCUUGUUUCUUUUAGACAAUCUCACAACUUGGACAAAGUCCCGUCUCUAUCAAGAUUAAGAUCAGCAACAUAACAGGACUAGUUUUCAACUAUCUGCCUCUGGAACUCAAAUCUUUGUUAAUUUUUUCUGUAAAGUUUAAUAAAUUUUACUUUACUUUC
This is a long non-coding RNA of Gavialis gangeticus (Gharial), 468 nucleotides long. RefSeq lists it as uncharacterized. Lineage: Eukaryota; Metazoa; Chordata; Crocodylia; Gavialidae. The record is from RefSeq and is a predicted model, not a curated record. The transcript is spliced from 2 exons.